GAUGAACGCUGGCGGCGUGCCUAAUACAUGCAAGUCGAGCGGACAAAUGAGGAUCUUUCUUGUCUGACGCGAGGGGCGGACGGGUGAUUAAUACGUGGCUAACCUACCUAUAAGACUGGGAUAACUUCGGGAAACCGGAUCCAAUAUCGGUUAAUAUAUUGAACCUGUUGGAUCAUUGGUCAAAGAGGGUUUUGCUGUCACUUGUAGAUGGUCCCACGCCGCAUUAGCUAGUUGGUAGGGUGACGGCGUACCAAGGCAACGAUGCGUAGCCGACCUGAGAGGAUGAUCGGCCACACUGGAACUGAGACACGGUCCAGACUCCUACGGGAGGCAGCAGUAGGGAAUAUUCCGCAAUGGGCGAAAGCCUGAUGGAGCAACGCCGCGUGAGUGAUGAAGGUCUUCGGAUCGUAAAGCACUUUUAUUUGGGAAGAAGAAAAGUAUAAUAAUCUAUGGAUGUCUUGACGUUACCUAAACAAGAAGCACCGGCUAACUACGUG
RNAcentral lists this ribosomal RNA (497 nucleotides) under uncultured bacterium. RNAcentral describes it as "partial 16S ribosomal RNA". It matches the Rfam family "Bacterial small subunit ribosomal RNA", at positions 28 to 507 of the family's 1533-position model. The record is from RNAcentral.